Molecule: long non-coding RNA, 443 nt
Filed under: Ananas comosus (pineapple)
Lineage: Eukaryota; Viridiplantae; Streptophyta; Magnoliopsida; Poales; Bromeliaceae
Description: long non-coding RNA (ACOM_LNC034357)
Source: RNAcentral
CCGCUACUCAAUACUGAAAUCCUGCACUUUGCAGACUUCAGUAUCAGAACUUCACUCUCGCAUUGCGCCGAGUCCGUUUUGCGUCCAAUUCGCGCUAAAACGACUCCGACUUGUUCCGACACCCACCAGACGUGUCAACAAGUCAUAGAUGCUGAAGUUUCUCAGAUAGCAAAACCCCAAGGACACUAAAAUCAAAUUUAAAUUUAAAUAUAAAUAUCUAUUUAAAUUUUAAUUUUAUUCGAUUUAUAAUUUUUAUUUUAUCUAAAAUUUAGAGUUUAAAUUAAUUAUAUAAUUUAAUUUUAAAUUAAAAUUAAAAUUUGAGUUUAAAUUGUGACUUAAAUAUAAUUUUGAAUAUUAAAUUUCAAUUAAUAGUUAACAAUUUUAAUUAAAGUGGAUCAAAAUUAAAUUUUGAAUUUUAAUAAAUAUGAAUUAAAAUUUUGAUA